Molecule: small nuclear RNA, 106 nt
Organism: Marmota marmota marmota (Alpine marmot)
Lineage: Eukaryota; Metazoa; Chordata; Mammalia; Rodentia; Sciuridae
Source: Ensembl
GUGCUCACUUCUACAACACAUAUACUAAAACUGGAACAAUAUAGAGAAAAUUAGCAUGCCCCUGCACAAGGAUGGCAUGCAAAUUUGUGAAGUGAUCCAUAUUGGG